UCACUCUGUGACACUUGGAAGCCU
This 24-nucleotide non-coding RNA is filed under the name Arabidopsis thaliana (thale cress). The record is from RNAcentral. Lineage: Eukaryota; Viridiplantae; Streptophyta; Magnoliopsida; Brassicales; Brassicaceae.